Molecule: ribosomal RNA, 434 nt
Filed under: Enochrus ochropterus
Lineage: Eukaryota; Metazoa; Arthropoda; Insecta; Coleoptera; Hydrophilidae
Description: eukaryotic LSU rRNA
Rfam family: 5.8S ribosomal RNA (bases 1-85)
Source: RNAcentral
ACUGCAGGACACAUGAACAUCGACAUUUCGAACGCACAUUGCGGUCCUCGGAUACUGUUCCUGGACCACUCCUGGCUGAGGGUCGCAUCCAUCAGACUGCCGGCAUUUGUUCUUUCGGACGAUUGCCGCGCGAAAUUGAGAGUUCGCUCGGGUUCCCGCACGGGUCCUGCCGGCGUCUCUUUAAAUCACAGAACGGUCGUUUCCGAGCCCUCGCGGGUCAGGUACGACUUCUCGAGCGUCGGCGCCUUGCGCCCGUACGGCUCCGCGUUCAGCGCGAGACCGCCCGGUUGACGUGUCCUAGACUACUUUGACUAGAAGACGUCUGAUCGUGUGCGCGUCCGCGUGCGGUGCAUCCAAACGUACGAGUGCAUAUUCGACGGUGCCGCGCGACAAUAAAAUCCAUUAUGCGACCUCAGAGCAGGUGAGACUACCCC